GGACCCGCACAAGCAGUGGAUUAUGUGGUUUAAUUCGAAGAUACGCGAAAAACCUUACCAGGGCUUGACAUCCGCAGAACCUUGUAGAGAUACGAGGGUGCCUUAGGGAACUGCGUGACAGGUGGUGCAUGGUUGUCGUCAGCUCGUGUCGUGAGAUGUUGGGUUAAGUCCCGCAACGAGCGCAACCCUUAUGGUUAGUUGCUAACAUUUAGUUGAGCACUCUAGCAAGACUGCCGUUGACAAAACGGAGGAAGGUGGGGACGACGUCAAAUCAUCAUGCCCCUUAUGUCCUGGGCUACACACGUAAUACAAUGGCCGUUAACAAUGGGAAGCCAAGCCGCGAGGCGGAGCAAAUCCCCAAAAACGGUCCCAGUUCGGAUUGCAGUCUGAAACUCGACUGUAUGAAGUUGGAAUUGCUAGUAAUCGUGAAUCAGCAUGUCA
This 441-nucleotide ribosomal RNA is filed under the name uncultured Bacillota bacterium. Its description in RNAcentral is "bacterial SSU rRNA". It matches the Rfam family "Bacterial small subunit ribosomal RNA", at positions 917 to 1359 of the family's 1533-position model. The record is from RNAcentral. Lineage: Bacteria; Bacillati; Bacillota.